Molecule: non-coding RNA, 234 nt
Organism: Pelobates cultripes (western spadefoot toad)
Lineage: Eukaryota; Metazoa; Chordata; Amphibia; Anura; Pelobatidae
Source: the annotation of a GenBank genome assembly
GGGUUGGGGUUAGAGGUUGGGGUAGGGUUAGGGGUUUCCGGUAGGGUUAGGGUAGGGUUAGUGGUUGGGGUAGGGUAACCCUUCUCCUAACCCUCACCCUACUCCUAACCCUAACCCUGCUCCUAACUCACCCCUACCCCUUACCCUACCCCUACCCUAUUCCUACCCAUACCCCUAACCCUACCCCUACCCCUACCCUAACCCUACCCGUGCCCUUAACCCUACCCUUAACCC